CAGCCGCCGCGGGAAUACGUAGGUGGCAAGCGUUGUCCGGAAUUAUUGGGCGUAAAGGGCUCGCAGGCGGUUUCUUAAGUCUGAUGUGAAAGCCCCGGGCUCAACCGGGGAGGGUCAUUGGAAACUGGGAAACUUGAGUGCAGAAGAGGAGAGUGGAAUUCCACGUGUAGCGGUGAAAUGCGUAGAGAUGUGGAGGAACACCAGUGGCGAAGGCGACUCUCUGGUCUGUAACUGACGCUGAGGAGCGAAAGCGUGGGGAGCGAACAGGAUUAGAUACCCGAGUAGUCCCUGUCUCUUAUAC
Molecule: ribosomal RNA, 301 nt
Filed under: uncultured bacterium
Lineage: Bacteria
Description: partial 16S ribosomal RNA
Rfam family: Bacterial small subunit ribosomal RNA
Source: RNAcentral